UGUAAAACUGUUGCUCAGGAAAAUAAGGAAGCUGUUUUCCAUAUAGAACUAUAAAUAGAUGUUUAAAAAAACCAGAAUGCAACUGAGCAAAUUUUAAAGAUCUUAUUGGCUUUAACAAUUCAUGAAUCGGGCAGCAUCCCAUCCAGCAGGUAGAGAGAUGAGCUGAGGAGCUGUAAAAGUGGAAGACUUUUCUAGGCAGAAGGGGGUGGGACGUGGGAGUUACACUAGCAAGGAGGAGAUCACUAGUGGCCAGGUGAGCAUCCGUUAGUGGACGGCAGGGGCCUGUCAGGCAGAUUGCCUCACUAGCGCUGACCAGGUGAUUCCAGACUGACCUAAGUUUCUCCUCCCAGGAGAGGUGGAUUGAGGUACUGAGUCUGAUGACCUGGGGCUUAGCCCAGGUGAUCCCAGUUUAGCCUGUUGUCUCUUUUAACAAAGCCUUAACAGGUACCUAUAGUACCAAGAGCACCUCCUAAGCCAAAUUUUCAUUACUUUUGGAUUACACAUGCCACAAACUCUUCUACUACUGCAGUUUAUUCUCACUUGUGUUAUUUGGGGUAUGGUAGUUGGGAGCCACUAAAGAAUAAUUUUAUAAACCCUAGGAGGGUUUUCUCUGAAUGGUAGGUGAGGUUUUUGUACGUUAGUGAUGCACUGAAAUGUGUCUGUGUCUAUGUCCAGGAGAACUAAGACACCUAGGAAACUACCAGUGAAAAAAGGAUCCCAGACAAGUCUGAAGGACCCCGUCGGGGUGUACUGUAGGGUGCGCCCGCUGAGCAUUCCCGACCAAGAGUGCUGCAUAGAGGUGAUCAGUAGCACAACCGUUCAGCUUCACACCCCUGAGGGCUACAGACUCAACCGAAAUGGAGACUAUAAGGAGACUCAGUACUCCUUUAAGCAAGUAUUUGGCACUCACACCACCCAAAAGGAGCUCUUUGAUGUUGUGGCCAACCCCCUGGUCGAGGACCUUAUCCAUGGCAAAAAUGGUCUCCUCUUCACAUAUGGUGUGACGGGAAGUGGGAAAACCCACACCAUGACUGGGUCUCCAGGGGAAGGAGGACUCCUUCCGCGCUGUCUGGACAUGAUCUUCAACAGCGUGGGGUCGCUGCAAGCCAAACGAUACGUCUUCAAGUCUAAUGACAGGAACAGCAUGGACAUACAGUGUGAAGUCGACGCCUUACUAGAGCGGCAGAAAAGAGAAGCCACGCCCAACCCGAAGACCCCCUCUAGCAAACGACAAGUAGAUCCAGAGUUUGCAGAUAUGAUAAAUGUACAAGAAUUCUGCAAAGCACAAGACGUUGAUGAAGACAGUGUCUACGGUGUCUUUGUCUCUUAUAUUGAAAUAUAUAAUAAUUACAUAUAUGAUCUCUUGGAGGAGGCGCUGUUUGACCCCAUAAAGCCUAAGUGGAACAGCUGCAGCACGCCCGUGAGGAGCACGGAUUUUGUGCCUCCACAGUCCAAACUGCUCCGGGAGGACAAGAACCAUAACAUGUACGUUGCAGGGUGCACAGAAGUCGAGGUGAAAUCCACCGAGGAGGCUUUUGAAGUCUUCUGGAGAGGCCAGAAAAAGCGACGAAUUGCUAACACACAUCUGAAUCGUGAGUCCAGCCGUUCCCACAGCGUGUUCAACAUUAAGUUAGUUCAGGCUCCCUUGGAUGCAGAUGGGGACAAUGUCUUACAGGAAAAAGAACAAAUCAUUAUAAGCCAGCUGUCCCUGGUGGAUCUCGCUGGGAGUGAGAGAACUAACCGGACAAAAGCGGAAGGGAACAGACUACGCGAGGCCGGUAACAUUAAUCAGUCACUGAUGACGCUGAGAACAUGUAUGGAGGUCCUGAGAGAGAACCAGAUGUACGGGACCAACAAGAUGGUCCCAUACCGAGACUCAAAGCUGACCCAUCUGUUCAAGAACUACUUUGACGGGGAAGGAAAAGUGCGCCUGAUCGUGUGUGUGAAUCCGAAGGCCGAGGACUAUGAAGAAAGCUUGCAAGUCAUGAGGUUUGCAGAAGUGACCCAGGAAGUUGAAGUGGCAAGACCAGUAGACAAGGUCAUAUGUGGUCUGACGCCGGGGAGGCGGUACCGACACCAGGCCCGCGGGGGCGCCGUUGGAGAUGAACCACUGGUUUCAGAAGUGGUUUUACAGAGCUUUCCGCCUCUGCCGUCCUGUGAGAUCCUGGACGUCAAUGAUGAGCAGACUCUCCCCCGGCUGAUCGAAGCGCUAGAGAAGCGGCACCGCCUGCGGCAGAUGAUGGCCGACGAGUUUAGCAAACAGGCUAUUGCUUUUAAAGCUUUGUUGCAAGAAUUUGACAAUGCUGUUUUAAAUAAAGAAAACUACAUUCAAGGAAAACUCAGUGAAAAAGAAAAGGUGAUCUCAGGACAGAAACUGGAAAUAGAACAACUGGAGAAGAAAAACAAAACUUUAGAGUAUAAGAUGGAGGUUCUGGAGAAGACUGCGGCCAUCUACGAGGAGGACCAGCGCGCGCUGCAGCAGCGGCUGGAGGCCCAGGGCCAGCGGCUCCAGCGGCAGCUUUCCGACAAGCGCAGGCUGGAGGCCCGGCUACAGGGCAUGGUGACCGAGACCUCCAUGAAGUGGGAGAAGGAAUGCGAGCGGCGGGUGGCGGCCAAACAGCUGGAGAUGCAGAAUAAACUCUGGGUGAAAGACGAGAAGCUGAAGCAGCUAAAGGCCAUUGUUACCGAGCCCAAAAGCGACAAGCCGGAGAGGCCGUCUCGGGAGCGGGAUCGAGAGAAGGUGACUCCGAGGUCCGCUUCCCCACCCCCCGUCCCGCUUUCUAGUAACCAUAUUGCUCAGGUUCCCAACGGCCAGCAGCUCAUGAGCCAGCCCCAGCGGCACAGGCGCUCUAACUCCUGCAGCAGCAUUUCUGUAGCUUCCUGUGUUUCCGAGUGGGAGCAGAAAAUGCCUCCGUACAGCUCACCUCUCGGUGCCACGUCCAUUGCAAGGCGUAGGCAGCAGGAGCCAGGACAGAGCAAAGCCUGUGUCGUGUCAGACAGAAGGCGAGGGAUGUGCUGGACUGAAGGCAGGGAGGUGGUCCCUUCACUCAGGACCGAGAUAGAAGUAGAAGAGGACCGCUGCCGCGGGAACGCACCACCAAUUCGUCUGAGACACAGACGGUCGCGCUCCGCAGGAGACAGAUGGGUAGAUCAUAAGCCCGCCUCUAACGUGCAGACUGAGACAGUCAUGCAGCCACAUGUCCCUCAUGCCAUCACUGUGUCUGUUCCAAGUGAAAAGGCCCUAGCUAAGUGUGAGAAGUACAUGCUGACCCACCAGGAACUAGCCUCCGAUGGGGAGAUUGAAACUAAGUUAAUUAAGGGUGAUGUUUUUAAAACAAGGGGUGGUGGACAAUCCGUCCAGUUUACUGAUAUUGAGACUGUAAAACAAGAAUCACCAACUGGUCGGAAACGCAGAUCUUCCACAGCAGCGCCAACCCAGCCCGACGGGACGGAGUCUGAGUGGACUGACGUGGAGACAAGGGUAGGUAGGACUGGGGAACGCCUGUUCUAGCCCCGCAGCCGCAGCUUUUCGUGCUCCCUGAAACAGCUCAGGUCUGAUCUCGUGGCCAGUGAGUCCCAGCAAAUCUGAGAAGGUAGCUGUGUUUCUUUAGGGCUAGUCUUCCUGGCCCUUCUCUGUAGCACAGAGCGUAGGGCCCCAGAGCCAAGUCCGAGGGCUUCACCCUAGAAGAACAAGAACUCACAUCAAACUGAUGGGGAUCUUCUCAGAAGCCAAGUUCCCUGUGGAACGGUUACUCCUGAGGAGAGGCUCCGAGGAAGAGCCUGGGAAGGGGGGGCAGGAGGCCAAGCGGGGCCUUCGCCCCGGAUGUUCUCGUGCACUCCUCACGGAGAAUGAGGUUUACCUGGACCACCUCUGAAGCCCCUUCUCUGUUUCUGUGGCUAUGACACGUGACCCGAGAGCGCCUGAUCGGUAUUUUAAGUAGUGCUCUGUGGCUGUGGAGAUGAGAGCAGGAUCUCAGCUAGGGCCCGGGUACCAGCACCACGCACAGCCCAAGCGCAAGAAGCCAUGAGCUGACCAAGGCUCAAUGAUGAAAGAACACUUCGGUCUGUGUUGGUGAUUGCUCCCGAGUGGUGGUGCAGAACUCCAGCUUCGCUGAACAUCACAGACCUCAGACGCAUGGUGCACGGGCCCACAGCAAAGAUGCCCCACGGCUCCAAAGAUGCCUAGGAUUCUACAAACUCUCCAUUACAUGCCUUUCCAUAUUUAAAAUAUUAAUAGCACAGAAAGACCCUCUUCUCCUUGCCGUAUGAACUUUUUUAUAAUGCUGA
Non-coding RNA from Vicugna pacos (alpaca), 4287 nucleotides. NCBI's taxonomy places the organism in Eukaryota, Metazoa, Chordata, Mammalia, Artiodactyla, Camelidae. The record is from RefSeq and is a predicted model, not a curated record.